Molecule: long non-coding RNA, 522 nt
Organism: Solea senegalensis (Senegalese sole)
Lineage: Eukaryota; Metazoa; Chordata; Actinopteri; Pleuronectiformes; Soleidae
Exons: 2
Source: RefSeq, a predicted model, not a curated record
CUCUUUGCCGCUUUAUGUGGAUGUGGAUUCAUGGCAUCACAGUACAAACACAGCCGAAUUACUUUACGGAAACUCAUUGUCUCAUUCAAGAAAGUGUCCAGAACAUAAAAACAGACUGAGGAAGGAAGCUUUCAGCAGUGUGUUGCAACUGUGGUGGCGUUCACUUGCCUCGUUCACUACUGCAGCUGUCUGCGACCAGCAUGUCUUCUUUUGUAAACACUCUCACCCUCAUAUGUUGUGAUGGGAGUGAAGGAUGAUGCUGCUCCUGUCAAAUAUCAACUUCCCCCAUCCCCACCCCCACUUCCGGGUCAUGUCACAUGCUCCUCAUCCCCCUCCCCUCCUCACCUCCGCCUCUUCCCCCCCCUCCCCGAGUAAACAAAAUCCAGCAGCAUUCAUUAUUAUCUGCCAACAGAUUCCUAUCUUCGGGGGAAAAGGCAGUGCUGAGCGUACAGAGUGAUGUAUAAACAAAGCAUUUUAUUUGACACACUGGCAAUAAAUUCACAUUUGUGUUACUGGAUAUAA